Molecule: ribosomal RNA, 523 nt
Filed under: uncultured bacterium
Lineage: Bacteria
Description: bacterial SSU rRNA
Rfam family: Bacterial small subunit ribosomal RNA
Source: RNAcentral
UGGGGAAUAUUGGACAAUGGGGGCAACCCUGAUCCAGCCAUGCCGCGUGAGUGAAGAGGGCCUUAGGGUUGUAAAGCUCUUUCAACGGUGAAGAUGAUGACAGUAGCCGUAGAAGAAGCCCCGGCUAACUCCGUGCCAGCAGCCGCGGUAAUACGGAGGGGGCAAGCGUUGUUCGGAAUUACUGGGCGUAAAGGGCGCGUAGGCGGUCUGUUGCGUCAGGUGUGAAAGCCCUGAGCUCAACCUGGGAGGUGCACUUGAUACGGGCGGACUAGAAUCCGAGAGAGGGUGGUGGAAUUCCCAGUGUAGAGGUGAAAUUCGUAGAUAUUGGGAAGAACACCGAUGGCGAAGGCAGCCACCUGGCUCGGUAUUGACGCUGAGGCGCGAAAGCGUGGGGAGCAAACAGGAUUAGAUACCCUGGUAGUCCACGCCGUAAACGAUGUGUGCUAGCCGUCGAGCAGCUUGCUGUUCGGUGGCGCCGCUAACGCAUUAAGCACACCGCCUGGGGAGUACGACCGCAAGGUUA